Molecule: ribosomal RNA, 352 nt
Filed under: uncultured bacterium
Lineage: Bacteria
Description: bacterial SSU rRNA
Rfam family: Bacterial small subunit ribosomal RNA
Source: RNAcentral
GGAAGGUCCGGGCGUUAUCCGGAUUUAUUGGGUUUAAAGGGAGCGUAGGCCGGAGAUUAAGCGUGUUGUGAAAUGUAGACGCUCAACGUCUGCACUGCAGCGCGAACUGGUUUCCUUAAGUACGCACAAAGUGGGCGGAAUUCGUGGUGUAGCGGUGAAAUGCUUAGAUAUCACGAAGAACUCCGAUUGCGAAGGCAGCUCACUAAGCCGUAACUGACGUUCAUGCUCGAAAGUGUGGGUAUCAAACAGGAUUAGAUACCCUGGUAGUCCACACGGUAAACGAUGGAUACUCGCUGUUGGCGAUAUACGGUCAGCGGCUUAGCGAAAGCGUUAAGCAUCCCACCUGGGGAGU